Molecule: long non-coding RNA, 832 nt
Organism: Scophthalmus maximus (turbot)
Lineage: Eukaryota; Metazoa; Chordata; Actinopteri; Pleuronectiformes; Scophthalmidae
Exons: 10
Source: RefSeq, a predicted model, not a curated record
CGAGUGGCCGUAAACGCAGAAGUGGUUAUCAUAAAGCAGUUUGAAGUGACGUAACACAUCCUAUAAAUGCUUUUGCGACAAACCCAGACGUUCUCAUUCUGCGCUGACCUGGUGUGAGUUAUGGUGGCCAUUCUACAGGCGAAGGCCUCGUUUUCCAUGACAAAACGGUGCUGUAAUCGGUCGGCAAUGGCUGUUCCCACCUCCAACACCAUUCUCAUCCGUUAGUAAAUGUAUCACCACGGAGAAACAAUCCCAGAAAACACAGUGCAGUUCGAGACACGUUGCAAAGGCCAGGGUGUGACCUUAUUGCAGAAUGUAGUUAUCCAACGAUUUGGGAUGACCCUCUUGAGACAUGAGGUGCUUGAUAAGUCCUGAGGCCAGCUGGGUUUCCUCACUGUCCAGGUCUCCAGCAAUGAUGCCCCAGCAUCAUGUUUGAGCUGCAGCAAUGAUGGCCUCCUGAUGCCCAAUUGGAGUAGGGCUUCAAUGACAAAGGUCACAGUGAUGGUAUAAACAUUGCUCAAGAACUUGUGACAGUGGUUUGAGCUGCAGCAAUGAUGGCCUCCUGAUGCCCAAUUGGAGUAGGGCUUCAACGACAAAGAAUCCCUGAAAGCAUCUUGGAGACAUGAAGGUCAGCAGCCUCUCAUUCUAAGGAGCAGCAGAAUGGUGCGGCUGUGGGGACACCUGUCCACACUGAGCUGCUGUCACUCAUCCUGACAAAAAUAACUUGCUUCUGAGAAUCACCCAUCUAAAAUCAGCUCUGUUUACUGCAACAUAUUUAGCCCAGUCUUUUUUCUACUGUGUACUUCAUAACUAAUAAAAUAUCUUGACUCUG